This 1451-nucleotide long non-coding RNA is filed under the name Ailuropoda melanoleuca (giant panda). RNAcentral describes it as "lncRNA (ENSAMEG00000028242.1)". The record is from RNAcentral. Lineage: Eukaryota; Metazoa; Chordata; Mammalia; Carnivora; Ursidae.
GCUAAGGAUAGGGAGGUGGAUUUGGGAGCUAGCUCCAAAGAAGGUCGCACCACGGGAAUGAAUCAUGGCCCGGGAAGGGACUGUAGGACAAGGAAAGAGGACUAAGGCUGGACCUUGGUGACAGAACACUGAUGGGACAGGCAGAAGAAGAGGAACCAUGAGGAAGACUAAAGAGGAAUAACACUAGUGAGGAGAAGCAAGGCAGUUCAGUGUCAUGGAAGCCAAAAAUAUGGAGACUUCAAGAGGGUAAGACCCGAGAAGAGGCUCAGUGGAGGCUGCUGGUGACCUCUGAAAGCCAUCUACAUACAGUUCUGGGAUGGUGCCAUGUUGACAGGGUCCAAAUAAUUGUUGGUUAUUGAAAAAGAACUGACUCUGGGAGGACCGAGCAUUUAAGAAUAAGGGCAAGUAAGGAGUGAGACAGUAAGGUAGUGCAAGGAAGAGGCGGUUCAAAGGGUUAUGGGAAACAUGAGAGGCUUUGUAGACUAAAGAAAGAGAUGCACUGCUGAGCUCACCCUGUCCCACCUACCUUUCUAAUGCAGGAAAUUAAGAUCAGAAAAGAGAACAAGAGAAGAUGGCUGGUUGGUUGCUGGACACCAGAAUAUGAAGAAAUUGAUCCCCUACCUCAAGAAAUGAGAGCAAUACUGAGAGCAUCAGACCGAAGAUUUGGUGUAUGGUUCAAAUUCAUGAUCUAUCUUCUCCAAAUGUUGGCUUUCUCGUCUCUGUUGAUGACCUACUAUGUACCAUUUUGAACGCCUGUUGGACUUAAUAAACUUGCCUCUCCAGGUAUUUGGCUCAGGUGGGUGCUCCUCUAGGAUAUGGCGAUCAAGUAUGCAUUGAUAUCACCCAGAACCUCUGCUCUCAUGCAUCAUCUUUUUCCAGUCUGAGGAUCCCUUACUCUGCCUGGGGAGACAGCUUUUUGGUCUGGCAACACUCCUCCCUUCCAUCAUGACAUUGGAGCUCCUGAGCCCUGCUCCAUGUGCACGAGGGCUGACCAGUGAGGAGGCAGUAAUGUGAAUACUGUACCCCAGGUGUAUGUGGCAUGGCUCACUGCUCUGUAAGGGGAUCUGUGGGUUAUCUGGGGCCAGCUUUUAACCCCAGACUACUUUCCCCUUAACCAGCUUCCUCUUGCUAUCUCGUUCAGAGUGCAUGGGGGAAAAUGCAAUCUCACUUAAAAAUUAACUCAAACAUCUGCUGGUAGCCUCCACUACCAUUUAUUUCAUGCAUUUCAGUCUUAAAAAUGACUUUUGGGGGCACCUGGGUGGCACAGCGGUUAAAGCGUCUGCCUUCGGCUCAGGGCGUGGUCCCGGCGUUAUGGGAUCGAGCCCCAUAUCAGGCUCCUCCACUAUGAGCCUGCUUCUUCCUCUCCCACUCCCCCUGCUUGUGUUCCCUCUCUCGCUGGCUGUCUCUAUCUCUGUCGAAUAAAUAAAUAAAAUCUUUAAAAAAAAUGACUU